GGGGGCGAAAGGUCUCGACGGGGAGUGAGGAAUCGUCGGUUGCGAGCCGAGGCGCACGGCCUCGUUAACAACGUGCAAACCUAUAACUGCCGAAACUUACGUUCCGGCCUACGCCACCGCCUAAGGUGGCGACGCUCUCCCGGCUUCGCUGAUCGGGCCGGCUUGAGCGUCAACUAGAUCAGCUUACCGAGCCUCUGACGUUCGUAGGGGGCAGGGAAACACCACGAACUAGCGGCCGCGCGGCCCGCCUGUGGGCUUGUGCGGUCGUGACAAACUAAACGCAGGACACGCUCGUAGUAGCCGGCGGGGACUGCUCUUCGGACGUGGGUUCGAUUCCCACCGCCUCCACCA
This 351-nucleotide transfer-messenger RNA is filed under the name Armatimonadota. Its description in RNAcentral is "CP070648 sp020354555 Standard tmRNA". It matches the Rfam family "transfer-messenger RNA". From Rfam's summary of the family: Bacterial tmRNA, also known as 10Sa RNA or SsrA, is named for its dual tRNA and mRNA-like properties. Lineage: Bacteria; Bacillati. RNAcentral also lists the same sequence under 1 other name. The record is from RNAcentral.